ACUAUCAACUGAGUUGACGUUUCUAACUUUGGACAGACACAAAGAGUUGAAUGAUAUACGCUCAUUGCCCUGCUUUAGUCAGCAAAAAACAAUUCAGUCUCAAGUAGACCCAAAUCUUUUAUAACCAGAAAGAGAAAAUAAAUUAUAAGUUAUAACCUAAAUUAGAGAUGGGCAAACCUAUCUUCUUUUUGUUAAAUCAGUUUUCUUUCAGAGCAUUUUUUUAAUUGAUCAUCGAGAGAAGCAUAUAAGUCGAACUAGAGUAAUAUUCGUUUCUUCAAUUUAAGUUAUUACUAGCCAAACCUAGUCGAAAAAGAAAACACAAAAAAACAACUAAUAAAACUUAAAUACUUCUUUUUUGCAUCUAAAGUAUUUAUCCCUAAUCAAAAUAACUACAUAUUUGUUUUAAAAUAAAUACAAGUUUCUAUUGUUCGUAAAUUUGAUAUACAGUAUAUAGUUUUUUUUUUUUUUUGUAAGCUACUAUAUAGUAUUAUGUAAUUGUUACUCGAGCCUCUGCCGAUUCAAGAUGUACCUCACGGAUCCUGUUAUAAGGCACGAGUACAACUCAUAAAUAAUACACAACAAAAAAUGAUCAAUGAUCUCCAGACAAUAUUACAAAACUUCCAAGAAAAAAUAAUUUAGUUUUCAAAAAAAGAAGAAAUAAUUAAGAUGACAGCAGCUUGAGCUUAGAGGGGACCCAAUCAUUGAACAAGCAAAUGCAAAAAAAGGAGAAUAGAAGAAAAGUACGACCGUAUAUCGACAGUCAGUUUAAUGGUUGAUGAUGAGAUCAUAUUAAACUCUCAAGUGGGAGUACUUGAUAGUUGAUUCUCACAACGUGCCUUGUCCUCUGAGUUUUAUUUUUGUUUGUUCAAAGUCCUCCGAGUCUCUUCUAAAAUUUUCUAUUAUUUCACUAAAUUAAAUUUUGUACUCACUCUCUCUCUCUCUCUAAAAUUCUUAACAUGCUCAAAGUUUGGGAAACAUCUUAAUCAAGAGAUGGCCUCACUCAACUCUGCAAACCUAACAUGUCCCUUUGAGGUAAACUCAGCUAAGAUUCAUCAUUCCACACUAACUUGUGCUUCACCUUACCAGGGUUUCUAAACCAAAACUCAAGACUUACACACACC
This 1121-nucleotide long non-coding RNA is filed under the name Brassica rapa (field mustard). Its description in RNAcentral is "long non-coding RNA (BRAP_LNC002059)". The record is from RNAcentral. Lineage: Eukaryota; Viridiplantae; Streptophyta; Magnoliopsida; Brassicales; Brassicaceae.